RNAcentral lists this ribosomal RNA (253 nucleotides) under uncultured bacterium. RNAcentral describes it as "partial 16S ribosomal RNA". It matches the Rfam family "Bacterial small subunit ribosomal RNA", at positions 524 to 776 of the family's 1533-position model. The record is from RNAcentral.
UACGUAGGGAGCAAGCGUUGUCCGGAAUCAUUGGGCGUAAAGCGCGCGUAGGUGGCCUCAUAAGUCCGCUGUGAAAGUCAAAGGCUCAACCUUUGAAAGCCGGUGGAUACUGUGAGGCUAGAGUACGGAAGAGGCGAGUGGAAUUCCUGGUGUAGCGGUGGAAUGCGCAGAUAUCAGGAGGAACACCAAUAGCGAAGGCAGCUCGCUGGGACGUUACUGACACUGAGGCGCGAAAGCGUGGGGAUCAAACAGG